Molecule: unclassified non-coding RNA, 332 nt
Filed under: soil metagenome
Description: partial contains 5.8S ribosomal RNA, internal transcribed spacer 2, and large subunit ribosomal RNA
Rfam family: 5.8S ribosomal RNA (bases 1-120)
Source: RNAcentral
GAUGAAGAACGUAGCAAAAUGCGAUAAGUAAUGUGAAUUGCAGAAUUCAGUGAAUCAUCGAAUCUUUGAACGCACAUUGCGCCCGCCAGUAUUCUGGCGGGCAUGCCUGUUCGAGCGUCAUUUCAACCCUCAAGCACAGCUUGGUGUUGGGACUCGCGUUAAUUCGCGUUCCUCAAAUUGAUUGGCGGUCACGUCGAGCUUCCAUAGCGUAGUAGUAAAACCCUCGUUACUGGUAAUCGUCGCGGCCACGCCGUUAAACCCCAACUUCUGAAUGUUGACCUCGGAUCAGGUAGGAAUACCCGCUGAACUAAAGCAUAUCAAUAAGCGGAGGA